CCCCUCUCAGGAUCACACCUGGAGAGUUUCCAGUACUCUAUCAGUCUUGGCUAUGAAAGGGAGAGUCAAGCAGAGGCCUACCCUUUCCAUUCCUUCCUUGGGCAGUGACUAGCAAGUGGAAGGCAAUCUGCUACAAGU
RNAcentral lists this small nucleolar RNA (138 nucleotides) under Ornithorhynchus anatinus (platypus). The record is from RNAcentral. Lineage: Eukaryota; Metazoa; Chordata; Mammalia; Monotremata; Ornithorhynchidae.